GAUGAACGCUGGCGGCGUGCUUAACACAUGCAAGUCGAACGGAAAGGCGCUGCUUUUGCGGGGUGCUCGAGUGGCGCAGGGGUGAGUAACACGUGAGUAACCUGCCCUUGACUUUGGGAUAACUUCAGGAAACUGGGGCUAAUACAGGAUAGGAGAUCCUGCAGCAUGGUGGGGGUUGGAAAGUUUCGGCGGUUUGGGAUAGACGCGCGGCUUAUCAGCUUGUUGGUGGCGUAGUUGCUUACCAAGUCUUUGACGGAUAGCCGACCUGAGAGGGGGACCGGGCACAAUGGUACUGCGAGACGGCCCAGUCUGCUACGUGAGGCAGCGGGCGGGAAUAUGGCACAGUGGGCGGAAGCCUGAGGCGACAACGCUGCGAUCGUGAUGCCGUCCUUCUUGUUGUGAACCGCUGUCGCCUGUGACGAAGCGUGAGUGACGGUAAUGAGUAAAGAAGCACCGGCUAACUACGUG
RNAcentral lists this ribosomal RNA (468 nucleotides) under uncultured bacterium. RNAcentral's name for it is "partial 16S ribosomal RNA". It matches the Rfam family "Bacterial small subunit ribosomal RNA", at positions 28 to 507 of the family's 1533-position model. The record is from RNAcentral.